CCAAGUUAUACGCGUGCUUUCAAACUUUGCAUUGCAGAGCUCUUGCGAUCUCUUCGGUUCUAACAAUCCUGCUGCUUCUUCCACGCAACAAACCACAAUCAUGUCUUCUAAUUCCGCCCAGCCUUUUCUCUCUUCACCCUCAGCUCUUCUACGAACCACCUCCUCUUCUCUUUCCAUUAUUAAUCAAUCACCGCGUGUUUGGCUGUUCGGGGCUAAAGACAAAAGAGUUUUUCGCUCCAAAUGCAGUACGGUUUCAAAACCCCGAACUCAAGAUCUCGUGUUACAAAAUAUUCUGAAGUGGCACGAGAGUGUGAAGGAUGACAUAGAAGGAGAUGAAGCAGCUCCUAUGGAUUUUCAAUCGAUUAAUAAGAUCAAGGAACAUGUUGAAUCCAUUAGAUCAACGUUGGUUUCGAUGGAGGACGGGGAGAUAUCAAUCUCGGCAUACGACACCGCAUGGGUGGCUAGCUUUAGUGGAAGAUAUUGAGGGUGAGGGAAGUGGCCUGCCCCAGUUUCCAUUCAGCCUCGAUUGGAUUGCCAACAAUCAGCUGCCAGAUGGUUCUUGGGGAGAUAGUGAAAGUUUCACUUCUCCUGAUCGCAUCAUCAACACCAUUGCUUGUGCAGUAGCACUCAAAUCGUGGAACGUUCAUCCUGGAAAAUGCGAAAAUGGUGAUACGGAAUGGCAUAUUUCAAGAACAUAAGUAAUCUUAGGAACGAGAAUGCUGUGCACAUGCCGUUCGGGUUUGAAGUUGCUUUUCCUUCAAUUCUUGAAUUAGCUCGGAGUUUAAACCUGGAGGUACCUGAUGACUGUCCUGUGUUGAAUGAGAUUUAUGCCAUGAGAAAUAUAAAGCUCGAAAAGCAUAAUUUACUGAACAAUUAUAGAGGCCAUAAAGAGAGGGAAGGUGCGGCAAUGGUAGAGAGAAAGAGAGAUGUGUAAUUGUGGGUGUGUGUUAUUCCACCCCAUUGUGCCUUUAUUUAUAG
Molecule: non-coding RNA, 978 nt
Organism: Malus domestica (apple)
Lineage: Eukaryota; Viridiplantae; Streptophyta; Magnoliopsida; Rosales; Rosaceae
Source: RefSeq, a predicted model, not a curated record